GAGGAUGACCUGUGGUUCAAGUGUGACUAGCAGUUGGUUCACGCCAGGCUGGCACGUGAGACCGGCGCGGCUGAGACGUGACUCAGGUGUGGCUCACACGUUAUGCAGGCAUGGCUGACACAUGACUCAGGUGAGGUGGCCACGUCACACAGGCGUGCAUGUCAUGUCAGCUGGCUGUGGUUCACACAUGGCUCAUGCAUGGCCUUCGUGUGGUUCAGGGAUGGCUGGUCAGGGUUCAUGCAUGGGUGGCUGGUGGCUCAGGCGUGGCUGAUAUGUGACACAGGCAUGUGUGAAACAUGAACCUGGGGUGGCUCUCACAUGUCUCAGUCAUAGCUGACACAUGACUCAGGCAUGCAUCGCACAGGAUGCAUGUGUGGAAGACAUGCGGUCACACGUGUGUGACAUGCCAUACAGGUGUGGCUCCCACGUGACUCACAGGUUCCUGAAAAAUGGCUCCUGCAUACUCAGUCAUGGCUGUCACGUGGCUCCCGCAUGGCGCCGCUGUGUUUCAUGUGUGGCUGACCUGUGGUUCAUGUGCGGUUCAAGCAUAGAUCAUGUGUGUUUCACAGGUGGUUCAGAUGUGCUUCAAGGGUGUCUCACAUGUGGAUCAUGCAUCGCUCACACAUGGUUUGCAUGUAAUUCAGGCAUGGCUCACGCACAACUUGUCUGGGUCCCAAAUGGUAGAGGACACUUUCAUAAGUGGUUCAGGCAUAGCUCAGCCAUGGCUCACACGCGACGCAGGCGUUCCACAGCACUGGCUCCUACGUAUCAGACACAUGAUUCAGGCUUUUCCCAUGCAUGGCUCAUGUGUGGCACAUGCACAGCUGUGGUACUGCUCAAGCGUGACUCACCUGUGUUUGUGGCAUGGGUGGCACGUGGUUCAGGCAUGGCAGGCAAGUUGUGCCAGUGUGGCUGACACGUACUUCGAGUCAUGUCUGACACGAGAUUCAGGCAAUCUUGAAGUGUGUUUCAGGCAUGGGAUUCAGGUGUGUCAGACACGGAUUCCAGUGGUAUGUGAUGCUUCAUUCAGGCCGCAGUGACACGUUCUUGCUGUGUGGCUGACACUUGGUGUGCCGAAGUUGACGCGUGGCUCAGGCAUGCCUGACAGGUGGUUCAGAUGUGGGUGACAGGGAUUCAAGAGUGCCUGGCAAUUUUCUGAUGUGGGGUUGACACAUGAGUCAGGCAUGGCUCACACGCAACUCAGGCAUUCAUCGCACAUUAUCCAUGCGUGGCAGGCAUGUGGUCACACGUGGGACA
RNAcentral lists this long non-coding RNA (1257 nucleotides) under Equus caballus (horse). RNAcentral describes it as "lncRNA (ENSECAG00000051366.1)". Lineage: Eukaryota; Metazoa; Chordata; Mammalia; Perissodactyla; Equidae. The record is from RNAcentral.